AAAAUGGAUAUCAUAACUCGUGGAUAAAUACAAGAAGGUACCGUAGCCAAAAAAAUCAUAUACAGCCUUGUUCGUUUCUCUGUCGCUGGAUUCAGCGACAGCGACCAGCGAUCAGCGACAGCAACCAGCGACAACAUAUAUUGUUCGUUUGUUUGUCGUUGGAUUCAGCGACCAAUUACAGCGACAAUCGCUAAUAACUGUCAAAGUGUUGUUCGUUUGACUGUCGUUAUAAACAGUUGCUAUAUUUUUAAAA
This 253-nucleotide small RNA is filed under the name Arabidopsis thaliana (thale cress). Its description in RNAcentral is "ATSL047110". Lineage: Eukaryota; Viridiplantae; Streptophyta; Magnoliopsida; Brassicales; Brassicaceae. The record is from RNAcentral.